Vigna unguiculata (cowpea) is the source of this 1319-nucleotide long non-coding RNA. RefSeq lists it as uncharacterized. Lineage: Eukaryota; Viridiplantae; Streptophyta; Magnoliopsida; Fabales; Fabaceae. The record is from RefSeq and is a predicted model, not a curated record.
CCGUUAUUUAAUGGGUGGAGGGCGCCAAAGUUUUCAGAGGUAGAUCCUCGCUGGAGAAACUAAUGGAAAAGAUGAAACUGUGGGAGAGUGAUGGUCGUGCGAGAAUCAGACGAGGAGAUUCUGGAGGAAGGAUCGUCGUGGAGGGUGGAUCGCCGCAGUAGAAACUGAUGAAAUCAAUUUUGGAAAUUCGGCGUCGGAAAAAAAAAAAAAAAAAAAAAGAUGGCAAAGAUUUCAUGAACCGACGGGGACUCGUCUGGAGGCAGCGGCGCAGGAAGAAGGCAGACAAACCCGAAAGAAUCCAAAAGAAGGUUGGAGCCCCACAUCGGUAAGGUAAUUUGUAACAACAUUAGUUCGACACCUUACCUCAUUCUAUACAUAUGAUAAUUGGGAUAUUUCUGGCAGAUAAAUGGCAAUCUAUGAUAUUUUUGUUAACGAUACCACUGAUUCUUGAACAUUAAACGGUGAUUCAUGGAACUUUCCUUCUUCUUUUACAAAAAGAUAAUCUUUUAUGUCACUCUAUCCGUUUUAGAUCUCAAUAAAUCUUGCAAUAAAGUCUUUUAAGAAUGUCUAUUUUCUUGGAUGAUGAACUUGUGAAUGAAAUUCGGCAAAUCCAGGUCUCAGAUAAUAUGUGUUGAUCAGAAUUCAAAUCAUGAUUUAUUUAUUUUUUACUUUAAUUGCACACUGUGUACGAGAGAACAGUGCAAGAAACAUUUUUGCAUUUUCUUUUACGUCAUCUAUAUUUAGUUAUAUGAAAUUUAUUUAUAUAUAAUCUAUGUUAUAAGUUACUAGAAAGAAAAAAAAAUCAAAACCUUUUCUGGAGUUGUCAAAUUCUUCUCUCGUAAUUAGUGUGCAAUCAAGAUAAAAAUAAAUAAGUUAUAAUUUGGAUUUAUAUCACGAAUUCGGUGGAACAUAUUAUCUAAGAGCUGGACUUGUUGAAUUUUGUCCACAACUUUAUUCUCUAAAAAAAUAGACAUUUUGAAAAAGUCUCUUACUAUAUUGAUUGAGGUUCGAAAUGAAUCUAGUGGCACAAAAAGAUCAUCUCCCUCUAAAAGAAUAAAGGAAGUUCCAUGAAUCAUCCUUUUGUGUUCAAAAAUCAAUGGUAUUGUUAACAAAAAUGAUUAUGAAUUGCAAUUUACCUGCUAGAAAUGUUCCAAUUAUCAUGUGUAUGCAACAAUAAGAUAAGGUGUCGAAUUCAUCUUGUUAUAAAUUUCCUUACCAAUGUCAUUCUUGUCGGUGUCAUUUGUGUUUAUAUCAUGCAACUUUUGAGGGUUACUGAAUGAGUAAAUUUGUGAAAUAAUGAGUUUUUUUUUUUCACUUGA